CCUACGGGAGGCAGCAGUGGGGAAUAUUGCACAAUGGGGGAAACCCUGAUGCAGCGACGCCGCGUGAGUGAGGAAGUAUUUCGGUAUGUAAAGCUCUAUCAGCCGGGAAGAAAAUGACGGUACCUGACUAAGUAGCCCCGGCUAACUACGUGCCAGCAGCCGCGGUAAUACGUAGGGGGCAAGCGUUAUCCGGAUUUACUGGGUGUAAAGGUAGCGUAGACGGUUAAUCAAGUCAGAAGUGAAACCCCAGGGCUCAACCUGGGGACUGCUUUUGAAACUGAGUAGCUAGAGGGCAGGAGAGGUGAGCGGAAUUCCUGGUGUAGCGGUGAAAUGCGUAGAGAUUAGGAGGAACACCAGUGGCGAAGGCGGCUUACUGGACUGUAACUGACGUUGAGGCUCGAAAGCGUGGGGAGCAAACAGGAUUAGAUACCCCAGUAGUC
RNAcentral lists this ribosomal RNA (440 nucleotides) under uncultured bacterium. RNAcentral's name for it is "partial 16S ribosomal RNA". It matches the Rfam family "Bacterial small subunit ribosomal RNA", at positions 338 to 795 of the family's 1533-position model. The record is from RNAcentral.